GUCCAAAGAAUGAUGAAAAUAUUAAAAUUUUGCCUGUAGUCCUCCUUGGAAUAGUUUUUUUAAUUAUCUUUUACUGCUGUGGAACUAAUGACAAUAAAAAAGAGGAACUUCAGACAAGAUUAGUGGAACUUCAGACAAGAUUAGGGCAGAGUGAACAGGACAGAGGCAAGUACCAGUUUCACUCAGUUCUGUGAACUGCUGAGUUAAAUGCUGAAAUCGACAAAAUAUUUAGAAAAGCUAAUUUUUUUUAUAGUCGUUU
Miniopterus natalensis is the source of this 259-nucleotide non-coding RNA. NCBI's taxonomy places the organism in Eukaryota, Metazoa, Chordata, Mammalia, Chiroptera, Miniopteridae. The record is from RefSeq and is a predicted model, not a curated record.